Molecule: ribosomal RNA, 253 nt
Filed under: uncultured bacterium
Lineage: Bacteria
Description: partial 16S ribosomal RNA
Rfam family: Bacterial small subunit ribosomal RNA
Source: RNAcentral
UACGAAGGGUGCUAGCGUUGUUCGGAAUUACUGGGCGUAAAGCGCGCGUAGGCGGCUUCGCAAGUCAGAGGUGAAAUCCCUGGGCUCAACCCAGGAAUUGCCUUUGAAACUGCGAAGCUGGAGUGUCGGAGGGGAUAGCGGAAUUGCUAAUGUAGAGGUGAAAUUCGUAGAUAUUAGCAGGAACACCGGUGGCGAAGGCGGCUAUCUGGACGACAACUGACGCUGAGGCGCGAAAGCACGGGGAUCAAACAGG